GGGGAAUUAGCUCAAAUGGUAGAGCGCUCGCUUAGCAUGUGAGAGGUACCGGGAUCGAUGCCCGGAUUCUCCA
RNAcentral lists this transfer RNA (73 nucleotides) under Saccoglossus kowalevskii. Its description in RNAcentral is "tRNA-Ala". It matches the Rfam family "tRNA". From Rfam's summary of the family: Transfer RNA (tRNA) molecules are approximately 80 nucleotides in length. Their secondary structure includes four short double-helical elements and three loops (D, anti-codon, and T loops). Lineage: Eukaryota; Metazoa; Hemichordata; Enteropneusta; Harrimaniidae. RNAcentral also lists the same sequence under 1 other name. The record is from RNAcentral.